UGGGGAAUAUUGCACAAUGGGGGAAACCCUGAUGCAGCGACGCCGCGUGAGCGAAGAAGGUUUUCGAAUCGUAAAGCUCUGUCCUAUGAGAAGAUAAUGACGGUAUCAUAGGAGGAAGCCCCGGCUAAAUACGUGCCAGCAGCCGCGGUAAUACGUAUGGGGCGAGCGUUGUCCGGAAUGAUUGGGCGUAAAGGGUACGUAGGCGGUCUAUUAAGUCAGGUGUGAAAGCGUGAGGCUUAACCUCAUUAAGCACUUGAAACUGAUAGACUUGAGUGAAGGAGAGGAAAGUGGAAUUCCUAGUGUAGCGGUGAAAUGCGUAGAUAUUAGGAGGAAUACCGGUGGCGAAGGCGACUUUCUGGACUUUUACUGACGCUCAGGUACGAAAGCGUGGGGAGCAAACAGG
RNAcentral lists this ribosomal RNA (403 nucleotides) under Verrucomicrobiota bacterium. RNAcentral's name for it is "Verrucomicrobia bacterium partial 16S ribosomal RNA". It matches the Rfam family "Bacterial small subunit ribosomal RNA", at positions 355 to 776 of the family's 1533-position model. The record is from RNAcentral. Lineage: Bacteria; Pseudomonadati; Verrucomicrobiota.